RNAcentral lists this non-coding RNA (29 nucleotides) under Mus musculus (house mouse). The record is from RNAcentral. Lineage: Eukaryota; Metazoa; Chordata; Mammalia; Rodentia; Muridae.
UUAGAUGCUUUCCUUCAAUGCUGCCUGUG